UUUCGUUUCUUGUACACUUGUUUUGUGUUAAUCGCAAUUUGAGUUUUGGUCUGCUUCAGGGAAUUACUAAUUUUAGUUUAAUUAAGUUUUUUUCCUUACAAAGGUUGCCUAGAAGAGAUCGCUUGUUAUCCCUUAUAAUUUGUGGGGACUGGGGACAGCUGCCGAAUUGUGCAAUUGACGAAUCGUGCGGCAGUUGUCUCCGCGCCCCGUUGCUUGUUAGACGGGUGAUCAAUAACAUAAUAUAAGUAAAUAACAGGCAUUUAUAUUAUAUAUUACAAUUGCGCGUUCGAUUUAAUCCUGGCCCACGAGGAGGCGACACAAUAUAUUUUUAUAUAUAUUUAUUAAUUCUGCGAUUAUGGAUAAACAACAUCUCUAUGAUGGGAGAGACGUCAAAGAGGAUAUUACCAUGGCUACAAAUCAACUACAAUUUGUGGAGACCAAGCCUUCCUUUAUGGCAAACCUGCUCGGCCCAGAAACUUCCACAAUAACAUGUCCCCAUUGUGGUAGUACUGUGAAGACCAGGAUUCGUUAUACAACUACUUCAAGGACACAUAUAGCUGCUGCGAUUUGUUCAUUAAUAUGUUGUUGCUGUUGCAUCCCGUAUUGUUCAAGCUCAGCAAAGAACACGGAUCACUACUGCCCUAAUUGCUUCAAAUACCUUGGCACUUACGAAAAAUAGUGACUAAGUUAAGAGAUUACCUAUGUCAAAAGAAUUAAAUUUGUGCCCGAAACGUAACAUACGAUAUUUACUGCAUCUUUCUUAUUGUACUAAUAUUAUAUAGAUAUUGAAAUGUAAUUAAUGAUUACUAACGUAAAACUGUCUUUCUUUUUUUGGGUAUACAUAUAUUCUUAGCUAAUGUGUUAGUUACAUUAACUAAGAAUAUAUACCCAACUUUCUACAUACACAAAGGUAUAUGUUCAUUAAAGUAAAACGUGGAUCCUUU
Molecule: RNA transcript, 944 nt
Organism: Pieris rapae (cabbage white)
Lineage: Eukaryota; Metazoa; Arthropoda; Insecta; Lepidoptera; Pieridae
Exons: 6
Source: RefSeq, a predicted model, not a curated record